RNAcentral lists this ribosomal RNA (222 nucleotides) under uncultured bacterium. RNAcentral describes it as "partial 16S ribosomal RNA". It matches the Rfam family "Bacterial small subunit ribosomal RNA", at positions 109 to 334 of the family's 1533-position model. The record is from RNAcentral.
AGUAAUGUCUGGGAAACUGCCUGAUGGAGGGGGAUAACUGCUGGAAACGGUAGCUAAUACCGCAUAACGUCGCAAGACCAAAGUGGGGGACCUUCGGGCCUCAUGCCAUCGGAUGUGCCCAGAUGGGAUUAGCUAGUAGGUGGGGUAACGGCUCACCUAGGCGACGAUCCCUAGCUGGUCUGAGAGGAUGACCAGCCACACUGGAACUGAGACACGGUCCAG